Molecule: long non-coding RNA, 507 nt
Filed under: Anas platyrhynchos platyrhynchos (common mallard)
Lineage: Eukaryota; Metazoa; Chordata; Aves; Anseriformes; Anatidae
Description: lncRNA (ENSAPLG00000017800.1)
Source: RNAcentral
CUGUGACAGCCAAUAGGCUCCUAAAUGUUUAUUUCCAGGAAAUCUAAAACAAACCACAAAGAAGUUCUGUACAGUACGUACUGGGUUCACUAAGGAGGUAACUAGUUAAAGGGCUGAUGCAUCCAGGAAAUCAGAGAGGACUGUGGGAUAAAUUCUGAUAAAAACUAUGUACCUACAUUCAUAAGGUAGGUCACUGAGGGUUCUUAAUUGUGUGUUAUUGGAUUGUAAUACAAAAUGUUUAUGUUGUAAAGGGCUUGCAUUCCUUAAAAGAGGUGAUAAAACAUGUUUUUAUUUCAGGUAACUAGGUCCUGUAGUAAAAGUCAGAAGCCUGGAAAGCGAAGCCCUUUUUCAGUGAAUGAGCAGAAAUACACAUCUCAGAUGGGUUUUCAAAACAGUAACUCUUCCAUUCUGUAAAUCCCUGGAACAAUGAAGCAAGUAAGCUGGAUUCCCACCCUUGCCACUUGCUGGGUCAGUAAUAAAUGAGAAACUAUCUCAUUUGAUGAGCCA